AUGGGUGCCCGAACCCCAAAGGCCUUCCAUACACAUUUACACGCGCGAACGAAUGACUUCCAGGCAGGGAGAAAAGUUGGAGCAAAUCCGGGGCAGCCGUUCCCUCCCGAGGCCUGGAGCUGCGGGGGGCGGCGGGUGCAGACCUGCACCGGCUGCGGGGGGCGGGGGGGCUGCCGCGGGGCCCAGGGAACCCGGCCGACCAGGGGGUCGGGGAACUCGGAAAGAGCAGAGCGCGUCUUUAAACGCAAAGUGGGGGCUCGUUUCGGGGGAUCCCAAAGGACGCACGGCCCCGGGGGCCGGGCUUUGUCCCCGGAGGAGCCGCGCACCCGGCCGCGCGCGCCGCACGCCCCGGCCCGGCUGGACCCCCGCCCACGGAGGCCCGGGCAGCCGGGGGGGGGCGGGGCGGGGGGCGGCGAGGCCAGGGGGCGGCCCAGGUCGCGUAGGCGCCUACAUCCGCUCGGUCUUCCAUCCCGCCUGGGCCUCGGGGGGCGCCCUGGCCGAGCCGCGCCUUUCGGAGCGCGGGGCCGGAGAGCCGGGCGCGGGGAGGGGGAGGGCCCCGGGGGGCGGGGAGGGGGCCCCCGCGGUGCUCACAAAGAAGCGCGUCUUCCCGGGGCGCGCGGGAGCCCCGCCAGGCUUCCCAGCUCCCGGCCGCCUGACCCCGGAGUGGCCCGGGAUUUAUUUAUCUUGGCGGAGGAAGGCGGGGCCUCUGUCUGGGAGACGAAAAUCUUUCCAGGAAGUUUGUACCUAUUAAUACUUGAGUUCCUGGCAGCUGCUGGCAGCGCGGGGGGCGGGGGGCCAGCCUGCCCGGUCCGUGGGAGACAGGGCCGCGGACGCGCGUGGGGCGCGGGCUCUCGGGGGCGGCGCGCCCGAGGGGGGAGGGGACCGGGGCCGCGACGGCGGCGGAGGGGGCGGGCAGGGCCCCUGGGCCACGGCCGUGGGCGCCGAGCGGGCGGGGCGCAGGAGCGGCGGCCCCGGGAGCCCCGGCUGGGAAGGACGGCCCGCGUUCCCGGGGCGCUGGCGGCCGUGAGGCCCGGAGCCCCGACGAGGUCCGGAGCUCGUCGUCACCUCGGUGCGGCCCCCGACCCGAGCGCGCUGCGCAGCCUCCUGGCAAGCUUCUCGUUAGCGCCAAUCUGCAGAAGGUAA
This 1143-nucleotide long non-coding RNA is filed under the name Canis lupus familiaris (dog). RNAcentral describes it as "lncRNA (ENSCAFG00030004833.1)". Lineage: Eukaryota; Metazoa; Chordata; Mammalia; Carnivora; Canidae. The record is from RNAcentral.